AUUCCCUUCCGGUUAUUUUAGGCAACAUCUCAAGCUCAGAUGCUGACAAUCCCUUCUCCGCCGGCUGCUUUACAGGCGAUGCGAUUUCCGUUUGGUUAUUAUUUGCAGCGUACCAGAGGAGACAAAUAUAAACAAGGAAAACAGCGCUCAUGCCGACGCAGGGGAGAAAAAGGGCCAAAAAGACAGAGAGGAGCAUGCUUUGGUUGGCGGAGGCGAAGUGAUUGUUGACGGGGGUUGGAGGCGGAGAGGGAGAGAGGAAAAGGGGUGCGUAGCGCACGCCAUCGCGCAUUAUAGGGAUGGAGAAGGAAAGUGAGAAAAUAAAUGGGCGAAGUCGAGAAGAUGGAGCGUGGUGGGUUGGCUUGGCGUUGGCGUUGGCGUUGGCUUUUCAGGUAUAUAGUGUAAGCGGG
This 407-nucleotide unclassified non-coding RNA is filed under the name Hevea brasiliensis (rubber tree). The record is from RNAcentral. Lineage: Eukaryota; Viridiplantae; Streptophyta; Magnoliopsida; Malpighiales; Euphorbiaceae.